This 332-nucleotide ribosomal RNA is filed under the name uncultured Chloroflexota bacterium. RNAcentral's name for it is "bacterial SSU rRNA". It matches the Rfam family "Bacterial small subunit ribosomal RNA", at positions 28 to 351 of the family's 1533-position model. The record is from RNAcentral. Lineage: Bacteria; Bacillati; Chloroflexota.
GAUGAACGCUGGCGGCGUGCUUAAUACAUGCAAGUCGAACGAGGAGCCUUUGUAGUAAUACGGAGGAUUUCCUAGUGGCGAACGGGUGAGUAACGCGUUGGUGACCUGCCCCGAAGUGUGGGAUAACAGUCCGAAAGGAUUGCUAAUACCUCAUGUGGUCAUAGAGGUUAGAGGCUCUUUGACUAAAGCAGCAAUGCGCUUCGGGAGGGACCUGCGUCCCAUCAGCUAGUUGGUGAGGUAAAAGCCCACCAAGGCGAUGACGGGUAGGGGACCUGAGAGGGUGACCCCCCACAAUGGAACUGAAACACGGUCCAUACACCUACGGGAGGCAG